UUAGACAUAAAAAAAGGUCAUACGUCUGCUAGCAAUUUAGGUUCCAAAUAUGAGCUUUAAUAGCUGCAAAAGCAAUUCAAAAACAGAAUGAAAACAAUCAAGAAAGAGAAAUUAAUAGCUGAUUCUAACCUCUUUGGAGUCUUGCAUCAUUUCUGGGUUCAAAAAGCUUGGUUUGAUUUGAAAGAAAUUGUUGGUUUUACUGUUGCUAUCACUCUGUUGUUUAGCUGAGAUUUGGAUUGUCCUCCUGAUUUCUGCUGCUGAUCUGUUUUGAGCUCACUCAUUAGCUGUUUUCCUUGGCCUUUAUUUGGCAAAAGUUCAGCUUCAUUUACAAGUUUAGGUACAUACCUCUCACUCGUAUUUUGUUCUGAUUUGUAUUAAAGUAUGGGCUGUUUUUCUUUGAAGUUAUUUGCUGCAGUGUUUAAACUUAUUGUUUGUUUGGUCUUAAACAUAAAUUGAAUGUUUAGAUUUAAUAUAGUAACUACAUGAACAUUGUUAUCGUUUUGCAUAUUAAAGACAAAUUGUUUUAGCAGUGAUUUGUGACUAAGAAUAUAUUGAAUCUCACAUGUUUUAGCUAAAAUUCAACUGGUGUAUCACAUCAGUAAUUAUAUGCUGCUUAAAUUCGAAAUUGAAUUGCUGAAAUAUGGGUUUUCCCUUUAUGUUCUAAUAAACAAUGCAGACUGAUUUGAGGUAUAAGAAUUAAACGAGUUUCUAUUUUGGAAAAAUGGCUUUCGUGGAAUUUUGAAGAUAUGUUUAAAAGACUGUUGUUUCUAAUUUAAAACGUGAAUGUUGUUAUAAUUAAUUAUAGAGACCAUUGAUGUACUCUACAAUUCUCAUGUGGAUGUAUUUGAACCCAAGGAGGAUUGUAUAUAUUAAGAGGCCUUUUGCAUAAUAUGAGGUUAUUGUGUUAGUUUUGUCAUUUAAGUUGUAUCCAAUUAUGAUUCCGAUAUAAUAUAGGAAAUUUUACCUCAUAUAGCAAAGAUUUACACCCUAUUUAUUAUAAAUAAAAACUCUUUCAAAAUAUUAUUUUCUAUAGAUACCUUUUAGUUUUUAUAGCAAAAUAUGUAUUUAUGGUCACUUCCUAAUGUUAAGCCAUUAAAUACACUGUCUAAUAUUUUUCUCUCUCAUUCUUUCAGUUUAUUCUCUCCCAAAAUCACACAUAGUAUCUUAUUUGUCUCUCCACGAUCUCUCUCUCAAUGAUAUCUCUCUCAUUCUUUCCUAUAUGAAACAGAAAACUGGUUUCCUCUGAUAGACGAUGAGUUUUUCCAUAAUUUUCAUGGUUAUCACUACUCUUCAGACAUAAAAACAGUGAGCAUUUCCAUGAUUUCCUGCAAGUUUUCUUAACAUUCUUUUCAAAAUUGUUAUUUCCCAAUUCUACAGGACGUGGAGGCGUGACACCAAAUUUUUUCCCUUCUGAUUCAUGAUUUCUUGCUUUUGUAAAGAACUAUGAAAUUGUGCAAGUCAUAAAUCAUCAAUACAGAUUUUUACCACUCACCACUAAAGUUUUUGGGUUUUUGGCCUGUUAAAGCUUUUUCUUUUUCUCUUCAACAGUUUUUUUAAAAAUAUUCACCAUUGUUAGGUUUUCUGCAGAAUACCCACUAAAGCACUCAAUUUCGAAGGUCCAUCUUUAGAUUUGCAAAUCACUCAAGAGGAACCUGUAUUUGCAGGUUCAUCAACAACCAUUGAAGCCGAAAGGAAAACAAAAAUACGCAAUGACCCUAAUUGUAGAUGUAUUUAUAUGUAUUCGAGUCCGCAGGAUUUUUAGUUUCUACAGUGGUUUUCUCUUCUUGUAUUUAGAUGUAUUUAUAUGUAUUCGAUAAGGCAUAUACUGAUUUUUAUUUUUUACAGUGAUUUUUGACUGUUGUAUUUAGAUGUAUUUAUAUGUAUUUG
This 1887-nucleotide long non-coding RNA is filed under the name Nicotiana tabacum (common tobacco). RNAcentral describes it as "long non-coding RNA (NTAB_LNC003133)". The record is from RNAcentral. Lineage: Eukaryota; Viridiplantae; Streptophyta; Magnoliopsida; Solanales; Solanaceae.